GCUCUGUUUUUCUCAACUUUUGCACCCUAUAUUGGGGGUGCCGGUUCGCCGGCUAUGGAAAUAAAUUGCCGUCGCAAUAAACCAUUCGGACCCGGGGGCAGUACCCGGCGCCUCCACCCAAGCCCACCCUUCCAAUCGGCGGGUUUCGGUGGGGGCGAAACAGGAUCGACGAGGGCGUAAAGGGCGUGUUUUUUCCCGGUAUGGUUCCGCCGUUAUCGGGCUAUGCAAUAGUUGCAAACGACAACUAUGCUCCGGUCGCUCGGGCUGCGUAACGCAGUUUGAAAGACCAAGUCUAAAGUCCUGAUGGGUUAAGCUCCGUCAGGCGGGGUCCGGAGGCACCUGGCAACAGAAGCCUCCACU
Non-coding RNA from Bradyrhizobium erythrophlei, 360 nucleotides. The record is from Rfam. NCBI's taxonomy places the organism in Bacteria, Pseudomonadati, Pseudomonadota, Alphaproteobacteria, Hyphomicrobiales, Nitrobacteraceae.